UGAUUCCUCUGGUCCAGUGGCCACAUUAUCUUCUUCUGUAUGCUUACUUUCUACUGGUAGUUUUUUCUCCAUUUCUAAAUCUUCAACAGUUUCAUCUCUAACUGGUUCUGUGGCUUCAUGUACUUCCUCAGGAAGGUCUUCAACAGCUGUAUCUUGAGUCUCAGUCUCUUUCUCGUAUUCUGGUUCUGUGUAGUGUUCAACAGCAUCUUCUAAUGUUAGCUCAGAGUCACCUGGAGCUUCUGGAUCACUUACUGUGUUUUCCAAAUCCAUAUCAUAUUCAUAAGAAACUGGAACUUCGUAUGUUUCAGGUUCUGUUGCUCCAGGAUCAUCUGCUACAAAAUCAGCAUCUUUCUGAAAUGAGUCUGGUGUCUCAUAAUCCUCUGUCAUUUCAUUCUCUAAUUCUCUAAGCGUGUCAUCUGUUGCAGGAGUUUCAAAUGUUUCUGCAUGUAUUUCUUCCUUCUCUUGCCACUGGUCACUUAUGCUUUCAUCUACAUCUUCAUGUCCCUCUCCAGGCUGCGAAUGGAGAGCAUCAUGAAGAACAGGCUGAAUUUCCUCUUCCAAUUCUACAUCAACAUUCUUGUGCUCUGAUUUGGUGAAUGACUGCUCAGCAGGCUGAAUGGUCUCCUCAGAUACUGGUGAUGCUGGCUGUUCUGGGACAGAUCUUUCUUUUAGGCCUAGCAACACUUUAGCGUCUUCCACAUCAAAAUCUCCAUCUCCAUCAGCAUCAUAUAUUCCAAGUUUGCCUAGGACUUCUUCAUAAUCUACAAGUUCAAACCAGACAACUGCUACUGACGUCCAAACUCCCAGCAAAGCAAUUACCAUAAACCAGGUGAAAAACGAGCUUCCAGAGAGGCCUUCUUUCUUUCCAUUCCUGUUUCCUCCAUGCUUACUCUCUCGCUUAGAGCCGGGGCCGGGAGCGCCGCCGGUGCCCUUGGAGCCCUUGCGGGAGGCCAUGGCGCCUCCUGUCAGGUAACGCGGGGCGGGGCGGGGCUAGACCGGGAAUGAGUCAGGAACCGCCGCCGUCCGAGCGCUGCGUGCGGGAGCGCCGGCAGCCACCGCAGCCAAGCGCCGGGCACGCCCCCUCCCCUCCCGCCCGCAGCCUCCAGCCAGUGGCGGAGCGCACAGGGCGAAGGGGCGUGACCUCCCUCUGCGCCGAUUGGCUGCAGAGCGGAGGGGGCGGGCGGAGCGGCUGCGUGAGGGCUGCGCGUGUCCGCCACGCUCCCCAUCGCCGGCGGCUUUGAACGUGGCAACAUGGAAGCGG
Molecule: long non-coding RNA, 1261 nt
Filed under: Gallus gallus (chicken)
Lineage: Eukaryota; Metazoa; Chordata; Aves; Galliformes; Phasianidae
Source: RNAcentral